Molecule: long non-coding RNA, 586 nt
Organism: Eubalaena glacialis (North Atlantic right whale)
Lineage: Eukaryota; Metazoa; Chordata; Mammalia; Artiodactyla; Balaenidae
Exons: 4
Source: RefSeq, a predicted model, not a curated record
GCUGGGGAAGCAGAGGCUGGCCUCGCCGUAAUGGCCCUAGAGCUGCGGGACCCAUAGCAGCCCCAGCACCUCCACCCCAUUUGACGGAAGGGGGAACUGCACCCAGAAAGGAGGAAUGGAUCUACAAUUGGUUUAAAAGGCUUCUUGUACACUCAGCAAUGGGUGUAUGAAACAGUCCAUUAUUCCAGCAACUAAGAUAAAUUCCUGCUGACACGACCUGAUAUUCCCACUCAGCUAAAAUGCUGCCUAAGGUUUUUUUCUUAAAGACUCAGCUGCUGCCCUGCUCUCCCCUGAGUGAGGACUGUCAGUACAUCUCCAGGGGACAUCGUGAGACUGGGAGGGCAGGAGGCAGGCAGAAGGCAUCCCCCACGGCUCGGCUGGUGCUGCAGUGGGCUCAGCAUCACACACCCCCACCGUCCGCUGCCAGCAGUGCCUGCAGGGGGCACCAUGCUGGGGGCUGGGACCCAGCCCAGAGAGCCGAGGGUGAGAACAGAGAGACCAGGACAAACAUCCCGCAGAGAGCAGGCUCCGUGCAGCUGGCCAUGCCCCGGCCCGAGGUACCCGUAACCCCAGAGUGCAGGACUGG